UCUCAGAGAUUAAGCCAUGCAUGUCUAAGUACAUACCUUAAAACGGUGAAACCGCGAAUGGCUCAUUAAAUCAGCUAUGGUUCCUUAGAUCGUAAAUGCUACAUGGAUAACUGUAGUAAUUCUAGAGCUAAUACAUGCAAUUAUGCCCUGACUCGCAAGGGAACGGGUGCAUUUAUUAGAACAGAACCAACCAGGUAUGGUCUCGGCUGUGCCUGUUGCAUUCUGUGAUGACUCUGGAUAACUUUAUUGAUCGCAGUCGGCCUUGUGUCGGCGACGGAUCUUUCAAAUGUCUGCCCUAUCAAUUUGUUGGUAGGUGAUCUGCCUACCAUGAUAAUAACGGGUAACGGGGAAUCAGGGUUCGAUUCCGGAGAGGGAGCCUGAGAAAUGGCUACCACAUCCAAGGACGGCAGCAGGCGCGAAAAUUACCCACUCCCGGCACGGGGAGGUAGUGACGAAAAAUACGGAUACGGGACUCAAUUGAGGCUCCGUAAUUCGAAUGAGUACAAUUUAAAUCCUUUAACGAGGACCAAUUGGAGGGCAAGUCUGGUGCCAGCAGCCG
RNAcentral lists this ribosomal RNA (559 nucleotides) under Austrobilharzia variglandis. Its description in RNAcentral is "SSU rRNA". It matches the Rfam family "Eukaryotic small subunit ribosomal RNA", at positions 35 to 576 of the family's 1831-position model. Lineage: Eukaryota; Metazoa; Platyhelminthes; Trematoda; Strigeidida; Schistosomatidae. The record is from RNAcentral.